RNAcentral lists this ribosomal RNA (270 nucleotides) under uncultured archaeon. RNAcentral's name for it is "partial 16S ribosomal RNA". It matches the Rfam family "Archaeal small subunit ribosomal RNA", at positions 477 to 747 of the family's 1478-position model. The record is from RNAcentral.
CAGCUCUCCGAGUGGUAGGGAUGAUUAUUGGGCCUAAAGCAUCCGUAGCCGGCGCUGUAAGUUUUCGGUUAAAUCUGUACGCUCAACGUACAGGCUGCCGGGAAUACUGCAGCGCUAGGGAGUGGGAGAGGUAGACGGUACUCGGUAGGAAGGGGUAAAAUCCUUUGAUCUAUUGAUGACCACCUGUGGCGAAGGCGGUCUACCAGAACACGUCCGACGGUGAGGGAUGAAAGCUGGGGGAGCAAACCGGAUUAGAUACCCGCGUAGUCC